AUAGUACCACUUUGCAGCGAACUUGGCAUUGGUCUUGUUGCAUAUAGUCCACUUGGUCAGGGUUUUUUUGCUGGGAAGGCCAGCCAAGAAAGUCUGCCAGAAAAUAGCCUCUUGGUUUACCAUCCUAAAUUUAUAGGCGAAAACUUAGAAAAGAACAAGGUUUUGUAUGCAAGUUUGAAGAGGUUGAGUGUGAAGCACCGUUGCAGCACUUCCCAGCUCGCUCUAGCAUGGCUUCUCCAUCAAGGGAAUUAUGUGGUUCCCAUUCCAGGGACUACCAAGAGUAAGAAUCUGGAGGAGAACAUCGGUGCUUUAGAAGUUAA
This 320-nucleotide unclassified non-coding RNA is filed under the name Hevea brasiliensis (rubber tree). Lineage: Eukaryota; Viridiplantae; Streptophyta; Magnoliopsida; Malpighiales; Euphorbiaceae. The record is from RNAcentral.